GUGGUGCCCUCCAACGACCUCAACUUGUCUGUAAGCUGCUAUCCGUCGAUGAGAUUCAGAUCAGAUGGUGCGAUUUUUUUAGAAAUGCUCUGCUUCUGAGCAACUUGAGUUGUUGUCUUAUAUUUCUUUACAGCAUAAUUCUCCAAUCUAGGAUAUCAGUCAAGGAGUGGUGCCUCGGUUCAUUGAGUUUCUCAUGUGUUCCUACUCUGUGAUCCAAGAGGUCUCCAUAGUAUGCCAUCAAUUAUGCAAAAGUUUACUAAAAGUAUGUUUGAGUUAGCCAAUCUUUGGGACCCGGGAUGAAGCUGGAUGCUCAUGGAGGUGUCUUUUCUCCUAAAAUUUGGCACCGAGUAAUGAAGAUACUACAUUUGUAAGCUGUAAGGUGGUGCCCUCCAACGACCUCAACUUGCAGCUAUCUGUAAGCUACUAUCCGUCGAUGAGAUUCAGAUCAGAUGGUGCGAUUUUUUUCAGAAAUGCGCUGCUUCUGAGCAACUUGAGUUGUUGUCUUAUAUUUCUUUACAGCGUAAUUCUCCAAUCUAGGAUAUCAGCCAAGGAGUGGUGCCUCGGUUCAUUGAGUUUCUCAUGUGUAAGGACCAUUCGUCAUUUGUUCUGUAAGAAUAUUUGAAUUGCAAGUCCUGCUCAUAGUAGAGGCAAGUGGAUCUUUUGUUAUUCAAGUGAUCAAUUAGCUUUGCAUUGGGCUUGUUAUUUGAA
Panicum virgatum (switchgrass) is the source of this 708-nucleotide long non-coding RNA. RefSeq lists it as uncharacterized. The transcript is spliced from 3 exons. The record is from RefSeq and is a predicted model, not a curated record. NCBI's taxonomy places the organism in Eukaryota, Viridiplantae, Streptophyta, Magnoliopsida, Poales, Poaceae.